GCAGAAGUGGCGGAAUAGGCAGACGCUCCUGGUUUAGACCCAGGCUUUUGAGAGUUCGAAUCUCUCCUUCUGUA
This 74-nucleotide transfer RNA is filed under the name Bacteroidia bacterium. RNAcentral's name for it is "tRNA-Leu". It matches the Rfam family "tRNA". From Rfam's summary of the family: Transfer RNA (tRNA) molecules are approximately 80 nucleotides in length. Their secondary structure includes four short double-helical elements and three loops (D, anti-codon, and T loops). The record is from RNAcentral. Lineage: Bacteria; Pseudomonadati; Bacteroidota; Bacteroidia.